AAUGAACGCUGGCGGCAUGCCUAACACAUGCAAGUCGAACGAAGCCUUCGGGCUUAGUGGCGCACGGGUGCGUAACGCGUGGGAAUCUGCCCUUGGGUUCGGAAUAACAGUGGGAAACUACUGCUAAUACCGAAUGAUGUCGUAAGACCAAAGAUUUAUCGCCCAGGGAUGAGCCCGCGUAGGAUUAGCUAGUUGGUGUGGUAAAAGCGCACCAAGGCGACGAUCCUUAGCUGGCUGAGAGGAUGAUCAGCCACACUGGGACUGAGACACGGCCCAGACUCCUACGGGAGGCAGCAGUGGGGAAUAUUGGACAAUGGGCGAAAGCCUGAUCCAGCAAUGCCGCGUGAGUGAUGAAGGCCUUAGGGUUGUAAAGCUCUUUUACCCGGGUAUGAUAAUGACAGUACCGGGAGAAUAAGCUCCGGCUAACUCCGU
This 432-nucleotide ribosomal RNA is filed under the name uncultured bacterium. Its description in RNAcentral is "bacterial SSU rRNA". It matches the Rfam family "Bacterial small subunit ribosomal RNA", at positions 29 to 506 of the family's 1533-position model. The record is from RNAcentral.